Molecule: ribosomal RNA, 630 nt
Filed under: Brevundimonas alba
Lineage: Bacteria; Pseudomonadati; Pseudomonadota; Alphaproteobacteria; Caulobacterales; Caulobacteraceae
Description: bacterial SSU rRNA
Rfam family: Bacterial small subunit ribosomal RNA
Source: RNAcentral
UCGAACGAACUCUUCGGAGUUAGUGGCGGAUCGGUGAGUAACACGUGGGAACGUGCCUUUAGGUUCGGAAUAACUCAGGGAAACUUGUGCUAAUACCGAAUGUGCCCUUCGGGGGAAAGAUUUAUCGCCUUUAGAGCGGCCCGCGUCUGAUUAGCUUGUUGGUGAGGUAAUGGCUCACCAAGGCUACGAUCAGUAGCUGGUCUGAGAGGAUGACCAGCCACAUUGGGACUGAGACACGGCCCAAACUCCUACGGGAGGCAGCAGUGGGGAAUCUUGCGCAAUGGGCGAAAGCCUGACGCAGCCAUGCCGCGUGUAUGAUGAAGGUCUUAGGAUUGUAAAAUACUUUCACCGGUGAAGAUAAUGACUGUAGCCGGAGAAGAAGCCCCGGCUAACUUCGUGCCAGCAGCCGCGGUAAUACGAAAGGGGCUAGCGUUGCUCGGAAUUACUGGGCGUAAAGGGAGCGUAGGCGGACAUUUAAGUCAGAGGUGAAAUCCCGGAGCUUAACUUCGGGAACUGCCCUUUGAUACUGGGUGUCUUGAGUGUGAAGAAAAGUAUGUGGGACUCCCAGUGUAGAGGUGAAAUUCGUAGAAUAUUCUGAAGAACACCAGUGGCGAAAGGGACCAUACUGGC